UAGGAGCGGGAACCAGGAAUUGGGAUUUUGAUUUCUUUGGUAAUGAAUUCACUGUCUGGGAAUCUUUGUGCUGCUGUUUUUUCAAUGAAGGCAAAGAGGGGUUGGCAGUAGACUUGGUAAGCACCAACAAGGUGGACUACUAUGGCAACAUUGGCAAUGUCUAGUAGCCAAUAUGGGUUAUAAAAGCCAAAGCCUGUGAGGAGAUUUCC
This 209-nucleotide unclassified non-coding RNA is filed under the name Hevea brasiliensis (rubber tree). Lineage: Eukaryota; Viridiplantae; Streptophyta; Magnoliopsida; Malpighiales; Euphorbiaceae. The record is from RNAcentral.